GCAGUCGUUAUGCAGAUGAGGUCCAGCUGAGAGCGCAGGAGGCCGCCUGGCUCGUUAGGCCGCGGCCCGGCAAAUGGCUCGCUAAUGUAACACUGCUUCCUGGUCUAAUGGAGCCCUGUUUUGUAGAAUUAUUUGUCUUUGCACGCGGUGGGGAGUGGGGGGGGGCACUGACAGCGAGGAGGAGGAGAGAAGGGCGAGGUCACUUCUGUCUCUCUGGCUGCCUGCACCAUACCAGGAGAGUGCCCCAGCAGACUGUGACCUGAUGACACGCCAUCGUCCAGUGGUGCGUUCUGUGUGAGAUGGUGAACUUGAAACGCUGCUGCUGUGAUUGGAUGACAUCUGAGCAUCCUCCAAUGAGGGAGAAGGGGAGGGGCUGCCACGCACUCGCUCCUGACAAACGACGAAACAAAACUUUGAUUUGGAUGUAAAACUUUGUUUCGAAGAUGGAAAGUAGUAGCAACAAAACCCACAAAAAACUGUAACACGUGAAAUAUGUAACAUUAAUUUGAUAUUUUAAAGCGAACUACCUAACCUACAUAAUAACUGUCAUAUUUUGAUUCCAAAUAAAAUGACGUUGAACUCUGGA
Molecule: long non-coding RNA, 586 nt
Organism: Notolabrus celidotus (New Zealand spotty)
Lineage: Eukaryota; Metazoa; Chordata; Actinopteri; Labriformes; Labridae
Exons: 3
Source: RefSeq, a predicted model, not a curated record